Molecule: unclassified non-coding RNA, 204 nt
Filed under: uncultured Laccaria
Lineage: Eukaryota; Fungi; Basidiomycota; Agaricomycetes; Agaricales; Tricholomataceae
Description: sequence contains ITS2
Source: RNAcentral
AAUUCUCAACCUUCCAACUUUCAUUAGCUUGGUUAGGCUUGGAUGUGGGGGUUGCGGGCUUCAUCACGAAGUCGGCUCUCCUUAAAUGCAUUAGCGGAACUUUUGUGGACCGUCUAUUGGUGUGAUAAUUAUCUACGCCGUGGAUGUGAAGCAGCUUUAUGAAGUUCAGCUUCUAACCGUCCAUUGACUUGGACAAUUUUGACA